RNAcentral lists this ribosomal RNA (465 nucleotides) under Vreelandella stevensii. RNAcentral describes it as "partial 16S ribosomal RNA". It matches the Rfam family "Bacterial small subunit ribosomal RNA", at positions 338 to 795 of the family's 1533-position model. Lineage: Bacteria; Pseudomonadati; Pseudomonadota; Gammaproteobacteria; Oceanospirillales; Halomonadaceae. The record is from RNAcentral.
CCUACGUGAGGCAGCAGUGGGGAAUAUUGGACAAUGGGCGAAAGCCUGAUCCAGCCAUGCCGCGUGUGUGAAGAAGGCCUUCGGGUUGUAAAGCACUUUCAGUGGGGAAGAAAGCCUUGGGGCUAAUACCCUCGAGGAAGGACAUCACCCACAGAAGAAGCACCGGCUAACUCCGUGCCAGCAGCCGCGGUAAUACGGAGGGUGCGAGCGUUAAUCGGAAUUACUGGGCGUAAAGCGCGCGUAGGCGGUCUGAUAAGCCGGUUGUGAAAGCCCCGGGCUCAACCUGGGAACGGCAUCCGGAACUGUCAGGCUAGAGUGCAGGAGAGGAAGGUAGAAUUCCCGGUGUAGCGGUGAAAUGCGUAGAGAUCGGGAGGAAUACCAGUGGCGAAGGCGGCCUUCUGGACUGACACUGACGCUGAGGUGCGAAAGCGUGGGUAGCAAACAGGAUUAGAUACCCCUGUAGUC